Molecule: small nuclear RNA, 126 nt
Filed under: Salmo trutta (river trout)
Lineage: Eukaryota; Metazoa; Chordata; Actinopteri; Salmoniformes; Salmonidae
Description: U4 spliceosomal RNA (ENSSTUG00000010092.1)
Rfam family: U4 spliceosomal RNA
About the family: U4 small nuclear RNA (U4 snRNA) is a component of the major U2-dependent spliceosome. The structure of U4 snRNA from yeast and human has been reported. U4 snRNA presents a k-turn RNA motif in the 5p-SL related to recognition of Snu13 protein.
Source: Rfam by way of RNAcentral
UUUCUUUCGCAGAGGCGAUAUCAUAACCUGUGAGGUCCAGCUGAGGAGUGAUUAUUGCUGGUUGAAAACUUAUCCCAAAACCCUGCUUGGAACCCCUCACAAUUCUGAAUGCUCUACAUGCUGGAG